Molecule: ribosomal RNA, 371 nt
Filed under: uncultured eukaryote
Lineage: Eukaryota
Description: SSU rRNA
Rfam family: Eukaryotic small subunit ribosomal RNA
Source: RNAcentral
CCAGCAGCCGCGGUAAUUCCAGCUCCAAAAGCGUAUAUUAAAGUUGUUGCAGUUAAAAAGCUCGUAGUUGGAUUUCUGGUCUGAUGCCCUGGCCCGCACCUAUUUCGGUGUGAGUGCCGGCUGCGCGUCUGCCAUCCUUCUAGAAAACGUUCCUACCCUUCGCUGGGCCGGGUUCGGGAUCUAGAUCUUUUACUUUGAAAAAAUUAGAGUGUUUAAAGCAGGCUUUUGCUGUGAAUACAUUAGCAUGGAAUAAUAAUCUAGGACUUCGGUUCUAUUUUGUUGGUUUCUAGUACUGAAGUAAUGAUUGAUAGGGAUAGUUGGGGGUGCUAGUAUUGAGCGGCCAGAGGUGAAAUUCUUGGAUUCGCUCAAGA